CCUAGUUACAAGUGCAAAUAUUUCAAAUGGGAUCCUACAUAUAGAGCUUAAUCAGGUUGUUGAGGGCGACCAAGGAACAUACAAACUGACGGAAUUAAGUGAAACUACUAUCGUCAUAGAAUGUGUGACUUUAUACAUCAUAGCUGAGCCUUGGCCUCCUUCACAUUUACACAUUAUCAGUACACCUGGCCUGGUACACGCUAGAUGGACUAAAGGUUUCAACGGAGGAAGUCUUCAAUCUUUUCUACUGCAAAUAUCCUACGAUAACAUUUGGAGAAACCUGACUCAAGUGAACGAGAAUGACUGGAAUAAUAUGUGGAAUGAAACUGUGUAUCAAGUCAAUAUCACAAAUGUAGAACCUGGUAAAAACUCGAUGCGAGUUAUUGCUUUCAACAAAGUUUGGUAUGCAGUAGUGAUGGGCAAUCGGUUGUAUUUUACAAUCGAUUAUCGGUUACAAUCGGAGACCAUCAACCGAUUAGACAUCGGCUAUAAUCGGAUAUUAUAGAGCAGUGAUUGCUUGUAAUAUACUUGAAGGUAAUGGGUAUCACUUUGUCUCUGUAAGCUGAAUUUUAUGUAUAAAUCAAAGAAUAGAA
Long non-coding RNA from Mya arenaria, 593 nucleotides. RefSeq lists it as uncharacterized. Lineage: Eukaryota; Metazoa; Mollusca; Bivalvia; Myida; Myidae. The transcript is spliced from 2 exons. The record is from RefSeq and is a predicted model, not a curated record.